This 611-nucleotide ribosomal RNA is filed under the name uncultured bacterium. RNAcentral's name for it is "bacterial SSU rRNA". The stretch from base 1 to 520 matches the Rfam family "Bacterial small subunit ribosomal RNA", at positions 338 to 873 of the family's 1533-position model. The record is from RNAcentral.
CCUACGGGAGGCAGCAGUAAGGAAUCUUCCACAAUGGACGAAAGUCUGAUGGAGCAACGCCGCGUGCAGGAUGAAGGCUUUCGGGUCGUAAACUGCUUUUAUAUGGGAAGAUUAUGACGGUACCAUAUGAAUAAGGACCGGCUAACUACGUGCCAGCAGCCGCGGUAAUACGUAGGGUCCAAGCGAUAUCCGGAAUUACUGGGCGUAAAGCGUGUGUAGGUGGAUUAAUAAGUGUGAUGCGAAAUCCGGCGGCUCAACCGUUUGGACUGUGUCGCAUACUGUUAGUCUAGAGGACGGCAGAGGUAAGUGGAAUUACGGGUGUAGCAGUGAAAUGCGUAGAUAUCCGUAGGAACACCAAUGGCGAAGGCAGCUUACUGGGCCACACCUGACACUGAGACACGAAAGCGUGGGGAGCGAACAGGAUUAGAUACCCCGGUAGUCCACGCCGUAAACGAUGCAUACUAUAGUAGUAGGUAGUCGUACCCGUCGUGCUGAGAGACUACGACGAUAGUAUGCCGCCGUGGGAGGUACGAGCGCGACGACGUUAAACGUUAAAGGUAAAGUUAGUUACGGUCGUUGAGACGNGCCGACGGCGACGACGAGGGAGGAGG